AACUUUUAGCAACGGAUCUCUUGGCUCUCGCAUCGAUGAAGAACGCAGCGAAAUGCGCUAAGUAAUGUGAAUUGCAGAAUUCAGUGAAUCCUCGACUCUUUGAACGCACCUUGCGCCCUUUGGUAAUCCGAGGGGCAUGCCUGUUUGAGUGUCUUGAAGCUCUCAAAUGUUUAACAUUUGGAUUUGGGUGAAAUGUUGCAGGUCGCCAAGAUCAGCUCACCCUAAAUGCAUUAGCUGGCUUUUGGGUCCGCAAAAACUCGGUGUGAUAAUUGUCACUCGCUGAGAUGUUGUAACCUUUUUAAUGGAAGCUGCUUCAAAUCCGUCUCCUUAGUGAGAAGUCUAAGUGUUUGACCUCAAAUCAGGUAGGACUACCCGCUGAACUUAAGCAUAUCAAUAAGCGGAGGCU
RNAcentral lists this unclassified non-coding RNA (406 nucleotides) under uncultured Agaricomycetes. RNAcentral describes it as "sequence contains ITS2". The stretch from base 1 to 154 matches the Rfam family "5.8S ribosomal RNA". The record is from RNAcentral. Lineage: Eukaryota; Fungi; Basidiomycota; Agaricomycetes.